This 250-nucleotide ribosomal RNA is filed under the name uncultured bacterium. Its description in RNAcentral is "partial 16S ribosomal RNA". It matches the Rfam family "Bacterial small subunit ribosomal RNA", at positions 357 to 623 of the family's 1533-position model. The record is from RNAcentral.
GGGAAUAUUGCGCAAUGGAGGAAACUCUGACGCAGUGACGCCGCGUAUGGGAAGAAGGUUUUCGGAUUGUAAACCAUUUUAGACAAGGAAGAAACAAGACAGUACUUGUAGAAUAAGCUCCGGCUAACUACGUGCCAGCAGCCGCGGUAAUACGUAGGGAGCAAGCGUUAUCCGGAUUUAUUGGGUGUAAAGGGUGCGUAGACGGGAAGGUAAGUUAGUUGUGAAAUCCCUCGGCUCAACUGAGGAACUG